RNAcentral lists this unclassified non-coding RNA (341 nucleotides) under Hevea brasiliensis (rubber tree). Lineage: Eukaryota; Viridiplantae; Streptophyta; Magnoliopsida; Malpighiales; Euphorbiaceae. The record is from RNAcentral.
GGAUUUUUUUUGUAGAGAGAGAGAGAGAGAAGUAUAAAUUGAUUUCUCAUCCCCUUUCCUAUAAAUAUUUAAAAUAACUCCAACCAUUAAAAUUUUAAAAGUAUAAAUUUUGUGAAAACCUAAAUGUUUAUAUAUUUAAAUAAAUAUUUGAUGAUUUUUUUUAAACUUGGCAAGUAUUUAAUUAGAUGAAAACUGCAUUUUUUGUUAAUAAUCUGUUAUAAAUUUGGCUAUAAGAAAUCCAUAUGAGUUUAUUAUAAUUCUGCUUUACUUUGUCAAAAGUAUAAAUUGAUUAUAUUUCUGCUUUAAUUUGUCAGAGGUAUAAACAUUCAACACCACUACAA